RNAcentral lists this transfer RNA (67 nucleotides) under Epigonichthys maldivensis. RNAcentral's name for it is "tRNA-Val". Lineage: Eukaryota; Metazoa; Chordata; Leptocardii; Amphioxiformes; Branchiostomatidae. The record is from RNAcentral.
CGAGUUAGAGCUUGACAUAAGCGUCUCUUUUACACGGAGAAGAUAUUUGUGAUUCAGAUUGGCUCGA